GGUGAGAUGGCCGAGCGGUCUAAGGCGCUGUGUUCAGGUUGGAUCUUCAACUACAACGAUUUCGCAGUCUCGUAAGAGGCCUGGGUUCGAAUCCCAGUCUCAUCA
RNAcentral lists this transfer RNA (105 nucleotides) under Neonectria ditissima. It matches the Rfam family "tRNA". Rfam says of the family: Transfer RNA (tRNA) molecules are approximately 80 nucleotides in length. Their secondary structure includes four short double-helical elements and three loops (D, anti-codon, and T loops). Further hydrogen bonds mediate the characteristic L-shaped molecular structure. tRNAs have two regions of fundamental functional importance: the anti-codon, which is responsible for specific mRNA codon recognition, and the 3' end, to which the tRNAs corresponding amino acid is attached (by aminoacyl-tRNA synthetases). tRNAs cope with the degeneracy of the genetic code in two manners: having more than one tRNA (with a specific anti-codon) for a particular amino acid; and 'wobble' base-pairing, i.e. permitting non-standard base-pairing at the 3rd anti-codon position. The record is from Rfam by way of RNAcentral. Lineage: Eukaryota; Fungi; Ascomycota; Sordariomycetes; Hypocreales; Nectriaceae.